Molecule: long non-coding RNA, 262 nt
Filed under: Cicer arietinum (chickpea)
Lineage: Eukaryota; Viridiplantae; Streptophyta; Magnoliopsida; Fabales; Fabaceae
Description: long non-coding RNA (CARI_LNC003601)
Source: RNAcentral
UUUGAUCCUUUGAUUCCUAAUUUUGACAUAAUUAAUAAUUCAACAAUGUUCAUACAAUGCAUGAUAAAUCUAAUAUUUGAAUUGAGCAAGAUUUCAGGAACCAUAAUCAAACCCUACACACUUGGAUCAAAUUGCUUGGAACACAAGAAAUCAACAAAAGUUGAAUUCUGAAUAUGUAAAUCGAUUGGGAAAUCGAUUUCAUAACAAGAGUGUAAGGAAAUCCUAAGUGUUUGUGAAUGUGCAAUCGAUUAGGCAAUCGAUU